This 505-nucleotide ribosomal RNA is filed under the name uncultured bacterium. RNAcentral describes it as "partial 16S ribosomal RNA". It matches the Rfam family "Bacterial small subunit ribosomal RNA", at positions 28 to 507 of the family's 1533-position model. The record is from RNAcentral.
GACGAACGCUGGCGGCGUGCCUAAUACAUGCAAGUAGAACGCACAGUUUAUACCGUAGCUUGCUACACCAUAGACUGUGAGUUGCGAACGGGUGAGUAACGCGUAGGUAACCUGCCUGGUAGCGGGGGAUAACUAUUGGAAACGAUAGCUAAUACCGCAUAAUAUUGAUUAUUGCAUGAUAAUUGAUUGAAAGAUGCUAUUGCAUCACUACCAGAUGGACCUGCGUUGUAUUAGCUAGUAGGUGAGGUAACGGCUCACCUAGGCGACGAUACAUAGCCGACCUGAGAGGGUGAUCGGCCACACUGGGACUGGGACACGGCCCAGACUCCUACGGGAGGCAGCAGUAGGGAAUCUUCGGCAAUGGACGAAAGUCUGACCGAGCAACGCCGCGUGAGUGAAGAAGGUUUUCGGAUCGUAAAGCUCUGUUGUAAGAGAAGAACGGGUGUGAGAGUGGAAAGUUCACACUGUGACGGUAUCUUACCAGAAAGGGACGGCUAACUACGUG